AGUAUACCUAUCGUUAUUGCGAACGUUAAUAGUGUACACGAUAUUCAAUUGUGAUUAUAACUGUAUACCUUGGCUGGCGGAUGCGAAACGAGGAGUAAAGAGCAUUCUACAAUGUGCGUUGCAAACACCCGUUGCCAGUUGAAACGUUUGUCGCGACAAUCAAUUAGAAGAAUGCCCUUCAAAGUCGCGAGUGGAUUUCGGGAGUGUUGAAAAUUGGAAAUGUCGAUGAUAUGGCUGGCAGAUGCGGAUUGAGGAGUAAAAGUCGCGAGUGGAUAUCGGGAGUGUCGAAAAUCGGGAAUAUCGGAAAAAAUGUUCAAUAUUGAGAAU
This is a long non-coding RNA of Acromyrmex echinatior (Panamanian leafcutter ant), 327 nucleotides long. RefSeq lists it as uncharacterized. The record is from RefSeq and is a predicted model, not a curated record. NCBI's taxonomy places the organism in Eukaryota, Metazoa, Arthropoda, Insecta, Hymenoptera, Formicidae.